This 484-nucleotide ribosomal RNA is filed under the name uncultured bacterium. RNAcentral describes it as "partial 16S ribosomal RNA". It matches the Rfam family "Bacterial small subunit ribosomal RNA", at positions 30 to 507 of the family's 1533-position model. The record is from RNAcentral.
AUUGAACGCUGGCGGCAGGCCUAACACAUGCAAGUCGAGCGGAUGAAGGGAGCUUGCUCCUGGAUUCAGCGGCGGACGGGUGAGUAAUGCCUAGGAAUCUGCCUGGUAGUGGGGGAUAACGUCCGGAAACGGGCGCUAAUGCCGCAUACGUCCUGAGGGAGAAAGUGGGGGAUCUUCGGACAUCACGCUAUCAGAUGAGCCUAGGUCGGAUUAGCUAGUUGGUGGGGUAAAGGCCUACCAAGGCGACGAUCCGUAACUGGUCUGAGAGGAUGAUCAGUCACACUGGAACUGAGACACGGUCCAGACUCCUACGGGAGGCAGCAGUGGGGAAUAUUGGACAAAGGGCGAAAGCCUGAUCCAGCCAUGCCGCGUGUGUGAAGAAGGUCUUCGGAUUGUAAAGCACUUUAAGUUGGGAGGAAGGGCAGUAAGUUAAUACCUUGCUGUUUUGACGUUACCAACAGAAUAAGCACCGGCUAACUUCGUG